RNAcentral lists this small RNA (839 nucleotides) under Nothophoma macrospora. RNAcentral describes it as "eukaryotic LSU rRNA". It matches the Rfam family "Eukaryotic large subunit ribosomal RNA", at positions 50 to 907 of the family's 3401-position model. Lineage: Eukaryota; Fungi; Ascomycota; Dothideomycetes; Pleosporales; Didymellaceae. The record is from RNAcentral.
GCGGAGGAAAAGAAACCAACAGGGAUUGCCCUAGUAACGGCGAGUGAAGCGGCAACAGCUCAAAUUUGAAAUCUGGCGUCUUUGGCGUCCGAGUUGUAAUUUGCAGAGGGCGCUUUGGCAUCGGCAGCGGUCCAAGUUCCUUGGAACAGGACGUCACAGAGGGUGAGAAUCCCGUACGUGAUCGCUAGCCUUUACCGUGUAAAGCCCCUUCGACGAGUCGAGUUGUUUGGGAAUGCAGCUCUAAAUGGGAGGUAAAUUUCUUCUAAAGCUAAAUACUGGCCAGAGACCGAUAGCGCACAAGUAGAGUGAUCGAAAGAUGAAAAGCACUUUGGAAAGAGAGUUAAAAAGCACGUGAAAUUGUUGAAAGGGAAGCGCUUGCAGCCAGACUUGCCUGUAGUUGCUCAUCCGGGUUUCUACCCGGUGCACUCUUCUAUAGGCAGGCCAGCAUCAGUUUGGGCGGUUGGAUAAAGGUCUCUGUCAUGUACCUCUCUUCGGGGAGAACUUAUAGGGGAGACGACAUGCAACCAGCCCGGACUGAGGUCCGCGCAUCUGCUAGGAUGCUGGCGUAAUGGCUGUAAGCGGCCCGUCUUGAAACACGGACCAAGGAGUCUAACAUCUAUGCGAGUGUUUGGGUGUCAAGCCCGAACGCGUAAUGAAAGUGAACGGAGGUGGGAACCUUUCGGGGUGCACCAUCGACCGAUCCUGAUGUCUUCGGAUGGAUUUGAGUAAGAGCAUAGCUGUUGGGACCCGAAAGAUGGUGAACUAUGCUUGAAUAGGGUGAAGCCAGAGGAAACUCUGGUGGAGGCUCGCAGCGGUUCUGACGUGCAAAUCGAUCGUCA